UGGGACAGUAUUGCACACGCCCUACCUGCACCUAGGACAGUAUUGCACAUGCAUCCCGUGCCUUUGGGACAGUAUUGCAUGCUCACCGCCUGCACUUGGGACGGUAUUGCAUACGCAUCCUGUGCUCUUCAGGUAGAAUUGCACACGCACCGCCUGCCCUUGGGACAGUAUUGUACGUGCACCGCCUGCCCUUGGGAUAGAAAUGCACACGCAUCGCCUGCCCUUGGGAUAGAAUUGCAUGCGCACCGCCUGCCCUUGGAAUAGUAUUGCACAUGGACGGCUUCAGACAUGCUGUUAUGAUCUUACUGCAGUGAUUCCUCUAAGCUCUGCCAUCACAGAAGGUGGCACCUGGGCCAGUGGACAUUUGACCCUCGACCUCGGGCAGCUGGUCAAGGCUGACAUUAUCAUGGGCACAGUCAUCAGAUUAUUACGGUAGCUGGGUACACGUGGCACCGACAGAUCACCCAGGUGUGCACACAGUAAUUGACUGGCUAAUGGAACAGAAUGGACCCUCUGAAGUUCCUCAUUUGUGCAAAUGCAUCCUUCUCUUGUCUGCCAACAUGACUGUCUUUAUUUACUUUCACCUCGAGUCGAUAGAAGCACAUGGUCUGUGAGCAGAAUGUAAAUUCAGACUCAUUUCAGAAAGGACACUGUGUUCAUCAUGGGAAUAAAAGACACACCCUUUUCUUCAGAGUUGGACUGAGUCUCUAGAAAUUAAUUGGUCUCUGUGUUGCAGAUGAAAAGUAGAGAGAUGGUGACACUUUUGGGUUGGGACCUCCCCCUCUGGAACCCGCUGCUCUUUGUUCAUUUCACAGGUAUUUGCAGAGUGGCCACGGCGUGCGGCCACGGAUUCAGACCAAAGGUAAUGGAGAGAGGGAUUUCCUCUCCAUUUCUAUAGUCUGAUGGUUUUUAAUUUCUGGGAACAGACAUUCAAAAUGAUCAGAUAUGUAACAUAAAAAAAUCAACUGGAGUAGGUGACAUACAGCGAAAUAAGAUGAUGAGACUGCUAGGUGUUUUUUGAAGACAUUUGGGGUGUCGCUUCUCCCCUGUGGAGACAGAAAGCAAU
Manis pentadactyla (Chinese pangolin) is the source of this 1066-nucleotide long non-coding RNA. RefSeq lists it as uncharacterized. Lineage: Eukaryota; Metazoa; Chordata; Mammalia; Pholidota; Manidae. The record is from RefSeq and is a predicted model, not a curated record. The transcript is spliced from 3 exons.